ACGAACGCUGGCGGCGUGCCUAAUACAUGCAAGUCGAGCGGACUGAUUAAGAGCUUGCUCUUAUGACGUUAGCGGCGGACGGGUGAGUAACACGUGGGCAACCUGCCCUGUAGAUCGGGAUAACACCGAGAAAUCGGUGCUAAUACCGGGUAAUAUCUGAGAUCACAUGAUCUUAGGUUAAAAGAUGGCUCCGGCUAUCACUACAGGAUGGGCCCGCGGCGCAUUAGCUAGUUGGUAAGGUAAUGGCUUACCAAGGCGACGAUGCGUAGCCGACCUGAGAGGGUGAUCGGCCACACUGGGACUGAGACACGGCCCAGACUCCUACGGGAGGCAGCAGUAGGGAACCUUCCGCAAUGGACGAAAGUCUGACGGAGCAACGCCGCGUGAGUGAUGAAGGGUUUCGGCUCGUAAAGCUCUGUUGUUAGGGAAGAAACAGUACCGAACGAACUAGGUCGGUACCUUGACGGUACCUAACCAGAAAGCCACGGCUAACUACGUG
RNAcentral lists this ribosomal RNA (499 nucleotides) under uncultured bacterium. RNAcentral describes it as "partial 16S ribosomal RNA". It matches the Rfam family "Bacterial small subunit ribosomal RNA", at positions 29 to 507 of the family's 1533-position model. The record is from RNAcentral.